AGGACCGCGUUGGAGAAGCAGGGCACGUGCAUGCAUGUUCAUCAUCUUCUUCUUCCUCCUCCUCCUCCUCCUCUCCGACCUUGUGUCGUGGGUUGGAAGUUUAAUUAGAACUGCACUGCACGUGGUCUCCUUCUCCAUCCCGGUCUU
RNAcentral lists this microRNA precursor (147 nucleotides) under Oryza brachyantha (malo sina). RNAcentral's name for it is "pre miRNA MIR164". It matches the Rfam family "MIR164 microRNA precursor family". Lineage: Eukaryota; Viridiplantae; Streptophyta; Magnoliopsida; Poales; Poaceae. The record is from RNAcentral.